RNAcentral lists this ribosomal RNA (511 nucleotides) under uncultured archaeon. RNAcentral's name for it is "bacterial SSU rRNA". It matches the Rfam family "Archaeal small subunit ribosomal RNA", at positions 346 to 859 of the family's 1478-position model. The record is from RNAcentral.
AACUGCACAAUGUGGGAAACCACGAUGCGGGAAACCCAAGUGCCAGCACUAUGUGUUGGCUGUCCUCGACUGUUCGUAAGUCGGGAAGAAAGAGCUGGGUAAGACGGGUGCCAGCCGCCGCGGUAAUACCCGCAGCUCAAGUGGUGGUCAUUAUUAUUGGGCCUAAAGCGUCCGUAGCUGGCCUGUUAGAUGCCUGGGUAAAUCGAUGCGCUCAACGUAUCGACUUCCGGGUAGACCGGCAGGCUCGAGACCGGGAGAGGUGUAGGCUACUCGAGGGGUAGGGGUAAAAUCCUGUAAUCCUUCGGGGAGGACCAGUGGCGAAGGCGCUACACUAGAACGGCUCUGACAGUGAGGGACGAAGCCCUGGGGCGCAAACCGGAUUAGAUACCCGGGUAGUCCAGGGUGUAAACGCUGCAGACUUGGUGUCGGUGAUCCUACGAGGGUUGCCGGUGCCGUAGAGAAGUUGUUUAGUCUGCCGCCUGGGGAGUACGGUCGCAAGACUGAAACUUAA